CAAGGAAUUUUCCACAAUGGGCGCAAGCCUGAUGGAGCAACGCCGCGUGGGGGAUGACGCUUUUCGGAGUGUAAACCCCUUUUCUCGGGGACGAAGCAAAUGACGGUACCCGGGGAAGAAGGCCCGGCUAACUACGUGCCAGCAGCCGCGGUAAGACGUAGGGGCCGAGCGUUGUCCGGAGUUACUGGGCGUAAAGGGCGCGCAGGCGGUUGGUUGCUGUCGGGUGUGAAAGCCCCCCGCUUAACGGGGGAGGGUCAUUCGAGACGGAUCAACUGGAGGCAGGGCGAGGUCGGUGGAAUUCCCGGUGUAGUGGUGAAAUGCGUAGAGAUCGGGAGGAACACCAGUGGCGAAGGCGGCCGACUGGACCUGACCUGACGCUGAGGCGCGAAGGCGUGGGGAGCGAACGGGAUUAGAUACCCCCGUAGUCC
Molecule: ribosomal RNA, 428 nt
Filed under: uncultured prokaryote
Description: bacterial SSU rRNA
Rfam family: Bacterial small subunit ribosomal RNA
Source: RNAcentral